RNAcentral lists this ribosomal RNA (254 nucleotides) under uncultured bacterium. Its description in RNAcentral is "partial 16S ribosomal RNA". It matches the Rfam family "Bacterial small subunit ribosomal RNA", at positions 524 to 776 of the family's 1533-position model. The record is from RNAcentral.
GACGUAGGGCGCGAGCGUUGUCCGGAUUUAUUGGGCGUAAAGAGCUCGUAGGCGGCUUGUCGCGUCGAAUGUGAAAUCUCAGGGCUCAACUCUGACAUUGCAUUCGAUACGGGCAGGCUCGAGUUCGGUAGGGGAGACUGGAAUUCCUGGUGUAGCGGUGAAAUGCGCAGAUAUCAGGAGGAACACCGGUGGCGAAGGGCGGGUCUCUGGGCAGUAACUGACGCUGAGGAGCGAAAGCGUGGGGAGCGAACAGG